GGGGAUUUAGUUCAGUGGUAGAGCGCUUGCCUAGCAAGCGCAAGGCUCUGGGUUCGGUCCCCAGCCCCA
Molecule: transfer RNA, 69 nt
Filed under: Rattus norvegicus (Norway rat)
Lineage: Eukaryota; Metazoa; Chordata; Mammalia; Rodentia; Muridae
Rfam family: tRNA
About the family: Transfer RNA (tRNA) molecules are approximately 80 nucleotides in length.
Source: Rfam by way of RNAcentral